GGCGGAGCUUGCAGUCUCUGUUCCAGCAACUCAACAUGAGCUCAUAGAGACCCUGAGGACACACAGCCGGUUUGCUCAGAUAUACCUGCAAGAGAGAGGGAGAAAGGUGUAUGGCGGUGGCACCAUUUGAUUGAACUCCCCAGCAUUGUCGAUGACUUGUUCAUCAGUGAGGUUGAAGUACGGCUGCUCCUGACAAAUGCUCAGCAUCUCCCACAGAGUGACCCCGAAUGCCCACACAUCGCUGGCCGUGGUGAACUUACCCUGGGAACACACAACCAUGCAGAUCAACGCUGUCAUCUUCAACAUCGUAAUCUCCAUCAGUAUUAAAAUUCGCCAUCUGUCGCCAUCAUCAUUAUUGGAUGGCAAAUUGUUGACAAUUACGUGUUGCCAGAUCCCGGUGCACGAAGUUGAGGGAGGAGAGGAACUUCAUUCCUGACGCAAUCUGGCUGGCCAUGGAGAUGAGAGCUGGGUAACUGGAGGGGAAAUGGUGACAGAUAGAGAGAAUAAACAAUAAAGUCUGCAUUUAUAUCUGCAUAUAUGUGCAA
This is a long non-coding RNA of Micropterus salmoides (largemouth bass), 545 nucleotides long. RefSeq lists it as uncharacterized. NCBI's taxonomy places the organism in Eukaryota, Metazoa, Chordata, Actinopteri, Centrarchiformes, Centrarchidae. The record is from RefSeq and is a predicted model, not a curated record. The transcript has 3 exons.